GGUAACGUACCCCGUGCUUUGGGAUAAUGUCGCUGGCCGAAAGGUCAGCUACCGAAAGGGGCACUAAUACCGAAUAAUAUCAUCGGCUGACGGGUCGAUGAUCAAAGUUUUUCGGCGCGGGAGCGGCCUAUCUCCUAUCAGCUUGUUGGUGAGGUAAAGGCCCACCAAGGCUAUGACGGGUAACGGGACUGAGAGGUCGUUCCGUCACAUCGGGACUGAGACACUGCCCGGACCUCCACGGAGGGCUGCAGUAACGAAUCUUGCGCAAUGGGCGAAAGCCUGACGCAGCGACGCCGCGUGCGGGAAGAAGUCCUUCGGGAUGUAAACCGCUGUCAGGGGUAAGAAAGUCCGUUUCGGCGGAUUGAUCUAUCCCAGAGGAAGUCACGGCUAACUCUGUGCCAGCAGCCGCGGUAAGACAGAGGUGGCUAGCGUUGUUCGGUGUCACUGGGCUUAAAGCGUGUGUAGGCGGACCUGUAAGCAUUUUGUGAAAUCCCCCGGCUCAACCGGGGAAUCGCUUGAUGUACUGCAGGCCUUGAGGCAAGUAGGGGUGCGUGGAACUCUUGGUGGAGCGGUGGAAUGCGUAGAUAUCAAGAGGAACGCCAGAGGUGAAGACGGUGCACUGGGCUUGUCCUGACGCUGAUACACGAAAGCGUGGGGAGCGAACGGGAUUAGAUACCCCGGUAGUCCACGCCCUAAACGAUGUCUACUAGGCUGUGAAAGUUCUGACACUGGCACGGCCGAAGCAAAAGUGUUAAGUAGACCGCCUGGGGAGUACGGCCGCAAGGCUAAAACUCAAAGGAAUUGACGGGGGCUCACACAAGCGGUGGAGCAUGUGGAUUAAUUCGAAGCAACGCGAAGAACCUUACCUGGGUUUGACAUGCUUGGAUGCCUUUCUGGAAACAGAGUAGGUUGCCCGCAAGGGUGAAACUUGCACAGGUGCUGCAUGGCUGUCGUCAGCUCGUGUCGUGAGAUGUCGGGUUAAGUCCUUUAACGAGCGAAACCCUUGCCGUUAGUUGCCAGCGGGUCAUGCCGGGAACUCUAACGGGACUGCCGGUGUUAAGCCGGAGGAAGGUGGGGACGACGUCAAGUCAUCAUGGCCUUUAUGCCCAGGGCCUCACACGUGCUACAAUGGCGACUACAAAGCGACGCAAGGCCGCAAGGCGGAGCAAAUCGCAAAAAAGUCGCCUCAGUUCGGAUUGCAGGCUGGCAACUCGCCUGCAUGAAGUUGGAAUCGCUAGUAAUCGCGUAUCAGCUACGACGCGGUGAAUGUGUUCCUGAGCCUUGUACACACCGCCCGUCAAGUCAUGGGAGUUGGGAGUACCCGAAGCCGUGUUGCUAACUCGCAAGAGAAGCGCCUGUCUACGGUAAGCCCAAUGACUGGGACUAAGUCGAAACAAGGUA
RNAcentral lists this ribosomal RNA (1401 nucleotides) under metagenome. Its description in RNAcentral is "bacterial SSU rRNA". It matches the Rfam family "Bacterial small subunit ribosomal RNA", at positions 120 to 1498 of the family's 1533-position model. The record is from RNAcentral.